AUUGAACGCUGGCGGCAGGCCUAACACAUGCAAGUCGAGCGAGCGGCGGACGGGUGAGUAAUGCCUGGGAAUUGCCCAGUCGAGGGGGAUAACAGUUGGAAACGACUGCUAAUACCGCAUACGAAUGUAUUGCCGAGGUGGGAUUCGCUAGUUGGUGGUGUAAUGGCUCACCAAGGCCACGAUCCCUAGCUGGUCUGAGAGGAUGAUAAGCCAAACUGUAACGGAGACACGGUCCAGACUCCUACGGGAGGCAGCAGUGGGGAAUAUUGCACAAUGGGGGAAACCCUGAUGCAGCCAUGCCGCGUGUGUGAAGAAGGUCUUCGGGUUGUAAAGCACUUUCAGCGAGGAGGCGUUACUCGCAGAAGAAGCACCGGCUAACUCCGUGCCAGCAGCCGCGGUAAUUC
This 404-nucleotide ribosomal RNA is filed under the name uncultured bacterium. RNAcentral's name for it is "partial 16S ribosomal RNA". It matches the Rfam family "Bacterial small subunit ribosomal RNA", at positions 30 to 526 of the family's 1533-position model. The record is from RNAcentral.